AUACGGAGGAUGCGAGCGUUAUCCGGAUUUAUUGGGUUUAAAGGGUGCGUAGGCUGUGCGUUAAGUCAGGGGUGAAAUGCCGUCGCUCAACGACGGAGCUGCCCUUGAUACUGGCGUGCUGGAGUACGGAUGCCGUUGGAGGAAUGAGUGGUGUAGCGGUGAAAUGCUUAGAUAUUACUCAGAACACCGAUUGCGAAGGCAUCUCACGAAUCCGUCAUUGACGCUGAGGCACGAAAGCGUGGGGAUCAAACAGGAUUAGAUACCCUGGUAGUCCACGCAGUAAACGAUGAUAACUAACCGUCGGCGAUACACAGUCGGUGGCCAAGCGAAAGCGAUUAGUUAUCCACCUGGGGAGUACGUUCGCAAGAAUGAAACUCAAAUGAAUUGACGGGG
Molecule: ribosomal RNA, 393 nt
Filed under: uncultured bacterium
Lineage: Bacteria
Description: partial 16S ribosomal RNA
Rfam family: Bacterial small subunit ribosomal RNA
Source: RNAcentral